Molecule: ribosomal RNA, 374 nt
Filed under: uncultured prokaryote
Description: bacterial SSU rRNA
Rfam family: Bacterial small subunit ribosomal RNA
Source: RNAcentral
UACAGAGGGUGCAAGCGUUGCUCGGAUUUACUGGGCGUAAAGCGUACGCAGACGGCUGCAAAGGUCGGGUGUGAAAGCCCGGGGCUCAACCCCGGAAAUGCAUCCGAAACCAUGCAGCUCGAGUAUGAGAGAGGGGAGCGGAAUUCCUGGUGUAGAGGUGAAAUUCGUAGAUAUCAGGAGGAACAUCUGUGGCGAAGGCGGCUCCCUGGCUCAUUACUGACGUUCAGGUACGAAAGCGUGGGUAGCAAACAGGAUUAGAUACCCUGGUAGUCCACGCCGUAAACGAUGUGUGCUGGGUGUCGGGGGUAUUCACCCCCUCGGUAUCGAAGCUAACGCGAUAAGCACACCGCCUGGGGAGUACGGCCGCAAGGUUG